AGCUUUCUGAAUCCGUGCUGGGAUUUCGUCCGAUACCAGCCUAUUAGGGCUGGUCAGACUUACAAGAUAAGUGAAGUU
Molecule: microRNA precursor, 78 nt
Filed under: Schistosoma margrebowiei
Lineage: Eukaryota; Metazoa; Platyhelminthes; Trematoda; Strigeidida; Schistosomatidae
Description: mir-3492 microRNA precursor family
Rfam family: mir-3492 microRNA precursor family
Source: Rfam by way of RNAcentral